UGGCGGCGUGCUAAUACAUGCAAGUCGAGCGGACCUCUUCGGAGGUCAGCGGCGGACGGGUGAGUAACACGUGGGCAACCUGCCUGUAAGACUGGGAUAACUCCGGGAAACCGGAGCUAAUACCGGAUAUUAUUUCAAACCGCAUGGUUUGAAAUUCAAAGACGGUUUCGGCUGUCACUUACAGAUGGGCCCGCGGCGCAUUAGCUAGUUGGUGAGGUAAUGGCUCACCAAGGCAACGAUGCGUAGCCGACCUGAGAGGGUGAUCGGCCACACUGGGACUGAGACACGGCCCAGACUCCUACGGGAGGCAGCAGUAGGGAAUCUUCCGCAAUGGACGAAAGUCUGACGGAGCAACGCCGCGUGAGUGAUGAAGGUUUUCGGAUCGUAAAACUCUGUUGUCAGGGAAGAACAAGUGCCGGAGUAACUGCCGGCGCCUUGACGGUACCUGACCAGAAAGCCACGGCUAACUACGUGCCAGCAGCCGCGGUAAUGCGUAGGUGGCAAGCGUUGUCCGGAAUUAUUGGGCGUAAAGCGCGCGCAGGCGGUUUCUUAAGGUCUGAUGUGAAAGCCCCCGGCUCAACCGGGGAGGGUCAUUGGAAAACUGGGAAACUUGAGUGCAGAAGAGGAGAGU
This 631-nucleotide ribosomal RNA is filed under the name Bacillus sp. (in: firmicutes). RNAcentral's name for it is "bacterial SSU rRNA". It matches the Rfam family "Bacterial small subunit ribosomal RNA", at positions 37 to 662 of the family's 1533-position model. The record is from RNAcentral. Lineage: Bacteria; Bacillati; Bacillota; Bacilli; Caryophanales; Bacillaceae.